This is a long non-coding RNA of Pelmatolapia mariae (spotted tilapia), 567 nucleotides long. RefSeq lists it as uncharacterized. Lineage: Eukaryota; Metazoa; Chordata; Actinopteri; Cichliformes; Cichlidae. The transcript has 3 exons. The record is from RefSeq and is a predicted model, not a curated record.
UUCAUGCUGAAACUUGAUGAGUACACACCAGGUCUUUUGCAGCUUAUGCGUGCCAAAAGAGGAGCUGCUGGUUCCAAGUUGAGACCUCUGCUGGACACUUUGAAUGACACACAGAGCAUUGAGAAGAAAAGGGAUGUUGUUAUCUGCUGCCUCAUUAGCUACCUCGGGGAAAGACAAGAAGAUCUUUUUCAUGACUGCCAGGAAUGUGAGGAUUACACAGACAAUAUGAUGAAGCUGAUCGUGAUCCACAACAUCAUGGCUGAGGAGGAUCCAUCAGAUGUGUUCAUUGUGAUUGAGGGAAACCAAGUGAUGGAGGGAUGUGGAAGCCAAACAAAGGCAUGUGUACUACUGAUGGGACUGAUAUAUGUCCUCAACCUCGAAUAUCCGAAGGAGCUGAAGAACACAUUUGACACUUUUCAAAAACUAUUUUUGGAACUUGACGGGGCGAAACUACUGAACAAGGUCCACGGCCUCAAAAAUAAGCUUAUGCAAUGCACACACAUUUCCCCUCUUGUUCCCAGAGGAUCUUUUGUCCAGACAUAGCUUGAUGGAGCUGUAAUUUUUCUU